AAAGUUAAUUCUAGCUUUUAUAUUUAUAUAUUAUUUAUUUAUAUAUAUUAAUUUUUAUAAAAUAUAAAAUAAUUUUAAAAAUUUAUUUUUAAAAUAUAUUAUUUAAUAUUAAAAAUUAAAGAGAUUUAGAUUUAGUAUAAUAAAAAUUAUUAACAAAUUUUGUGCCAGCAGUUGCGGUUAUACCUAAAAUAAAUUAAAUAUUCAUUUAUAAUUAAUUAAUAUGUAAAAAAUAGAAUUUAUAAAUUUUUAAAUUUAUUAGGUAAAAUUUUAAAUUUAAUUAAACUUAAAAUAUUUUAAUUAUGAAGUUAAUGAAAUAAAUUUAAAUAAACUAGGAUUAGAUACCCUAUUAUAAAAAUUAAUAAUUAAAAUAUAAAGUAGUAAAAGUUAUAGGCUCUAAACUUAAAGAAUUUGGCAGUAUUUUAAUCUAUUUAGAGGAACCUGUUUAUUAAUUGAUACUCCACGAUUAAUUUUACUUAAUUUAUUUAAUUUGUAUAUCGUUGUUAUAAAAAUUUUUUUAAGAAAAAAAAUUUAAUUAUUUUAAUUAAAAAUUAUAUCAAAUCAAGAUGCAGUUUAUAUUUAAGAAUUUAAUGGGUUAUCAUAAAUUUAUUUAUGGAAAAAUAAUGAAAUAUAAUUUAUAAAUUAGAUUUAAUAGUAAUUUGAAUAAUUUUAUUUAAAUGAUGUAAGUUCUAAAAUAUGCACAUAUUGCCCGUCAUUUUCAUUUUGAAUUGAAACAAGUCGUAACAUAGUAGAAUUACUGGAAAGUGUUUCUAGAA
RNAcentral lists this non-coding RNA (773 nucleotides) under Nothopsyche ruficollis. Lineage: Eukaryota; Metazoa; Arthropoda; Insecta; Trichoptera; Limnephilidae. The record is from RNAcentral.